AUGAAAUCCAAAUGCAUCCAUGAUAGCUUCCUAUAUGUUCAAAAUGAUGUCCGUUCGCUGCACCGUCGCAAAACACCCGCCCUGCUCAUCAAACUAGACAUAGCCAAGGCUUUCGACAACGUCUCCUGGGAGUAUCUGCUCCAACUCCUAGAUAAGUUAGGGUUUAGUGCUAGAUGGAGGGACUGGAUUUCGACGCUUCUACUUAGCUCUUCUUCGGCUUUCGUCCUAAACGGCUGCUCUAGACGUGAUAUCGACCACCGUAGAGGGCUGGGGCAGGGAGACCCGCUCUCGCCCUUGCUUCUCAUCCUCGCCAUUGAUCCACUACAUCGUCUCCUAGAGAGAGCUGAGGAGCGGGGCUUGCUCACCCCUCGCCGGGUAGGAUAG
This 384-nucleotide ribosomal RNA is filed under the name Triticum aestivum (bread wheat). RNAcentral describes it as "partial small subunit ribosomal RNA". Lineage: Eukaryota; Viridiplantae; Streptophyta; Magnoliopsida; Poales; Poaceae. The record is from RNAcentral.